AUGGACCUGGACGGCUUCCCGCUUGACCACGAGUUUCCGGAUGACUACGGGCAAGAGGAAGAGGACGAGUGCGACAUCGAAGUGAAGCCUUUGUUCGAGGACGAGCUCGCCAACCAAGCCAGCAGGCCGAAGCCGAAGCGCAAGAGCAAGCGGACGAAGGCAUACACGGCGGCCGAGGACAAGCUUCUUUGCGAGUGUUGGCGAGACAUUGGACAAGACCCCAAGACCAGCGGCGAACAAAAGCAUUCAACUUUUUGGAUUCGUGUUCACCGAGAGUUUCAUGAGCGCAAGAAGUUUCCGCCUUACCAAAUUAUGAGCACGCGCUGGUGGGUGUCCAUUUCGAAGCGAUGA
This 351-nucleotide ribosomal RNA is filed under the name Triticum aestivum (bread wheat). RNAcentral's name for it is "partial small subunit ribosomal RNA". The record is from RNAcentral. Lineage: Eukaryota; Viridiplantae; Streptophyta; Magnoliopsida; Poales; Poaceae.